UAGGGAGACCUACCCAUUGAGGAAUCGAAAGCCAUAGGCGAAUAGAGAAUCAACUGGUCUACUCUAGGUCGGUGACGAGAGAUGGUGAAGUCUUUCAAACUAAUAUUGGUUCGCGAGAGGGCUAUUAGCUCAGGUGGUUAGAGCGCACCCCUGAUAAGGGUGAGGUCCCUGGUUCGAGUCCAGGAUGGCCCACCUGAGAGUGAUUAGUAGAAACUAUUAAUGAACUAGUAGUAAACUAUUAAUUACAUGGGGGUUUAGCUCAGCUGGUAGAGCGCCUGCUUUGCAAGCAGGAUGUCAGCGGUUCGAGUCCGCUAACCUCCACAUUAGGGAGAAACUAGCAACUAGGGAAGACCUAGACUGCUGGUGGAAACCAGCCAGAACCUUGAAAACUGCAUAUAGAUAGAUAAGAGAGCAGAAACCGAAAUCGAAAGAUAGAAGUGGAAGUAAGUGAAGAAUCAAGU
This 461-nucleotide transfer RNA is filed under the name Raphidiopsis curvata CHABHB1. RNAcentral describes it as "partial 16S-23S ribosomal RNA intergenic spacer". The stretch from base 249 to 321 matches the Rfam family "tRNA". Lineage: Bacteria; Bacillati; Cyanobacteriota; Cyanophyceae; Nostocales; Aphanizomenonaceae. The record is from RNAcentral.